CAUUACUAUAAAUGAAGUCAGUGUUUUUAGGAAGAAUUGUCUAAAUUUAGUGUUAAUUAAAUUUAAUUAUAAUGGGAGGCACGUGUUGUGACGGAAGUGAUGAUGAUGCUCAGUAACUGUAGCAACGCCAAAGUUUCGUCAACGGUUAACUCUGCUCAGCUUGACCCAGGACGGCAGAUGACGACGCUCAGAUGAAGACAAGCAGGGUAUAAAGUGAAAUCAAACCAACUGAGUGUUUUGCAACGAUGUCUGCUGAAUUACCCAUGAAAAGAACACACCAGAGCAAAGACUCAUUUCAGUCAGUUCAGUCUCCUGCACCUAUCUCACCCACUUCUGGAAUCAGUGGGGUGGAGCACCAAGACAACAGACUGCCCUCUCUAGGCUGUCAGGGUGAACCAGUGGUGGGCAACACUCACCCUGACCUUUCCUCUCACCUGAGCCCUGAGGAUGCUAUCCCAAGUGGACCCUACCAGCCAACUGCUGCCAACUGGGAUGCCUUUCACACUGCGAAUCAGACUGCUCAACAAGCACCAGAUCAUCCAUGUGAAGUGGUUCAGCAGCAAAUUGAGCAGAUCCACAAGGUGCUACAGGAGCACUGUAGCCUGCUGGCACUACUAGGAACAGUCUCUCUUGAAGGUUUGAUAUUUCCUGCCUGUGUGCCCAUGCAAUGGAUUGGCUUGUUGCCCGUGCUGACUGCCACAAGCUCUGAGAAGCUCCCAGUUUUCCCAAUGCCAUCUCCUCCAUCAGAUGGAAGGAGGCGUGAGGAUCGUCCUGCCCCCACAUGUCCCAGCCAGGAUAUAUUUAGAUCCAAAGAAGAGACAGCACAGCAAAGGCACUCACCUACCACCACAGGGACUCACCAGACUGUGCACAGAGAUGGAUACCAGGACCCAGUCAGCCUCUCUGCUGACCCUGAAGACAGGCUGAUCAGAUCUGCUUUGAGGGAGGAAGAGACCUUCGGGGAACGUGUAGAGGAGCAUCUGAAAGUGCAUGAAAUCUCUGAGCCAAAACAGCUGCAGAACCGCAGUGGGAUGACGACAGAGAGACGUCGCUACAUGCAGGAGGGUGAGGGCAUUUCCAGGAUGGUCAGAAAUAAUUUGAAGGUCACUGAUCAGCAGGAGGUCCGGAGGAGGGCUUCCCUUAGCCUGCAGCAGCCCAGCAGGAAGUUAACCUCCGACAUCCAGAGACGCUCCUCUGCCCCUUCUACGGUCUUUAAAGAUGACAGAAUGCAGCUUGAAACCUUCCAGUCUCUGAACUUUCAGCCUGAGCAUAGCCUACAGUUUGGGACUUUACAAGACCUUAGUUCUGGUUCAUGUAAUUCUCAGACACCAGAGAUCCAACCUCAGGCUGAUGUCUUUUCUCUGGUCUGCGGCCAAGAGCAAACUUACGCCAACAAUCCUUUCAUGCCCCAACCUGAAACUCCACCUUUGGAAGGACAACAGAUCACUGAUACUCCUGCAGUAAUUGACAGGGAAGAGGAACUUAGACAGCUGCAUGAAGGAAAGUCAAGAGAAAAAUUCCAUUUGGAAGAAAAAGGAAACAUUGAUAACCCUCAUUUAAGAAAGACAGAAUGCAGAAUUAAUCCAUCACUGUCUGAGCCGACACCCUCCGUUGGCAAGUCUUUCAGAGAAAAGAGGUUGAAGCACCAAGAAAUGGAAAACAUGGGUGAAACUGCAGAAAAUAUUGUUGAGGAAGAAGAGGUGAAAGGUCUGUUUGAAUUCACAGCACCUCAUAGACAAAUGGCUGUGAGCUCAUGUAGUGCCACCUCAGACUAUCUAUGGGAACAACCCUUGCAGCAGAACAACAUACAUUUCAACAUUUCCCCCUGUUUUAGGGACAACAGAGUGUCCCCCCGGACCGGGAGAAAUCAGGAAGUUAUUGUUAGUUUUAAGACUGUGAGCGACCACAUGGAGAGAGUCUCAAGCUUUAACAUGGAAACUCUAUCCACAGGCUGUGAUGAAACAAAAACACAUUUUCAUCUCUGCCAGUGCAACAAGUCGAGACCAGGAAGCAGCGCAGGCUCAAACUUGGUCAAAGGUCAGAAACAAGUUAGGACAACAGCAGCAUUUUGUCUUUGUGUGCCAAGCAACACAAGUCAAGUCCCGACACCUCUGGAGCUCAGUACAUUUCCCAUGCAUUCCAAUAAAAGAAGCACCACUGAUAGUGGUAGUGGCAGUGAGGAUGACAAUAACACACCAUCCCAGUGUCACCAGUUUCCCAAGCUCCCAUCCCCUCCUCCCUGCCUCGGCCUCCAGGAUUCACAUUUAAACCUUUCAGAGGAUGAUUAUGGCAGCAAGGCUGAUGAGGAAUGGAUGUUCCCGGGGAGCCAAAAACAGGACCAGUGUCUUGGAUCUGGAUUAGGGCCCCAUCAGCAGUCCUCUUCCUCCAUCUCCAACAGAGAUGGUAAAGCUCAGGGUGAUUCUAAUGGAGGUCAGAAAAGGAUGACUAUACGGUCACUGAGACCAGAAAGAAAAUCUGAUGGUACAGAUGUAACAAAAAUGGCACAAACAUCAAGAGGACUUCUAAGAGAAAAACUAGAUCAGAGUGAUGAACUGAAGAGGCCCUGCAGAGGCGAUGACGUCCUCUUGGACACAGAAGCGAAUCACCACAUGAGAAAUCAACACAGUCUGCACAAACUGGAAACCAGUGAAGUCCAGGCCCUCAGGCAGCAGAUGGAGGUGUUUCAUCAGCAGUUCAAACAGAAAGAGAGUGAUUGGUCCGCAGUUCGACACCAGCUGGAGGAGCUGAUCAGCGAGUAUGCUGAGCUGAGGAAGACACUAAAAGUUAUGCCACAGUGCCACUCAGUGGCCAAUCAAUGUACUGCACAAACGCAAACUGAACACCUGGAGGGACAGAUGGAGACGGAGCAGCUUCUCUCUAACGGGUGCAGCGUGGUGACUCUCAGUAACGGGACAAGGAAAGUUACCUCUGCAGACCAGAAGACAAAAACAGUCACAUUCUUCAAUGGAGACAUCAAGCACAUUUUGGAAGAUGGGAAAGUGGUUUAUUACUACGCUGGUUCACAGACAACCCAUACCACCCACCCAAGUGGUCUGGAGGUCCUUCACUUCCCCAACAAGCAGAUUGAGAAGCGACACCCUGGGGGGAAGAGAGAGAUCUUAUUUCCAGACCAGACCAUCAAGUAUUUGGAGCCUGACGGCAGCGAGAGGACAGUCUACUCUGAUGGCACCAUCGUUCAGCGUUCACCGUAAGACUGAAGUCGGCGCUUUGUUUUAAGAUCAGCUUCAGGGUGUCUGCAGGGUCAGAAAGCCAGUGGAACCCAGGAAGACUAGACUGUCGUUGAGGUGGCAGCUAACAGGUCAGGUGAAAAGAUGGUCGAAUUCCCCAAUGGUCAGAGAGAGAUCCACACCUCCCAGUACAAGAGAAGAGAGUAUCCUGAUGGGACAGUUAAGACCAUCUACCCCAAUGGACGAC
Epinephelus lanceolatus (giant grouper) is the source of this 3435-nucleotide RNA transcript. RefSeq lists it as uncharacterized. NCBI's taxonomy places the organism in Eukaryota, Metazoa, Chordata, Actinopteri, Perciformes, Serranidae. The record is from RefSeq and is a predicted model, not a curated record.